This 253-nucleotide ribosomal RNA is filed under the name uncultured bacterium. RNAcentral's name for it is "partial 16S ribosomal RNA". It matches the Rfam family "Bacterial small subunit ribosomal RNA", at positions 524 to 776 of the family's 1533-position model. The record is from RNAcentral.
UACGUAGGGUGCGAGCGUUGUCCGGAAUUAUUGGGCGUAAAGAGCUCGUAGGCGGCCUGUCGCGUCGGUUGUGAAAGCCCGGGGCUUAACCCCGGGUCUGCAGUCGAUACGGGCAGGCUAGAGUUCGGUAGGGGAGAUCGGAAUUCCUGGUGUGGCGGUGAAAUGCGCAGAUAUCAGGAGGAACACCGGUGGCGAAGGCGGUUCUCUGGGCAUUACCUGACGCUGAGGAGCGAAAGUGUGGGGAGCGAACAGG